AGAGUUUGAUCAUGGCUCAGAACGUACGCUGGCGGCACGCCUAACACAUGCAAGUCGAACGAAGUAGCAAUACUUAGUGGCAGACGGGUGAGUAACAUGUGGGUAUCUACCCUUUGGCCUGGAAUAACACGAGGAAACUUGUGCUAAUACCGGAUAAGUCUUUACGGAGAAAGCUUUAUGCACCAUUGGAUGAGCCCGCACUUGAUUAGUUUGUUGGUAGGGUAAUGGCCUACCAAGACUAUGAUCAAUAGCUGAUUUGAGAGGAUGAUCAGCCACAUUGGGACUGAGACACGGCCCAAACUCCUACGGGAGGCAGCAGUGGGGAAUCUUGCACAAUGGAGGAAACUCUGAUGCAGCGAUGCCGCGUGAGUGAAGAAGGCCUUUGGGUUGUAAAGCUCUUUCGUCGGGGAAGAAAAUGACUGUACCCGAAUAAGAAGGUCCGGCUAACUUCGUGCCAGCAGCCGCGGUAAUACGAAGGGACCUAGCGUAGUUCGGAAUUACUGGGCUUAAAGAGUUCGUAGGUGGUUGAAAAAGUUGGUGGUGAAAUCCCAGAGCUUAACUCUGGAACUGCCAUCAAAACUUUUCAGCUAGAGUAUGAUAGAGGAAAGCAGAAUUUCUAGUGUAGAGGUGAAAUUCGUAGAUAUUAGAAAGAAUACCAAUUGCGAAGGCAGCUUUCUGGAUCAUUACUGACACUGAGGAACGAAAGCAUGGGUAGCGAAGAGGAUUAGAUACCCUCGUAGUCCAUGCCGUAAACGAUGUGUGUUAGACGUUGGAAAUUUAUUUUCAGUGUCGCAGGGAAACCGAUAAACACACCGCCUGGGGAGUACGACCGCAAGGUUAAAACUCAAAUGAAUUGACGGGGACCCGCACAAGUAGUGGAGCAUGUGGUUUAAUUCGAAGCAACGCGCAGAACCUUACCAACCCUUGACAUCCUGUGCUACUACCAGAGAUGGUACGUUCCCUUCGGGGACGCAGUGACAGGUGCUGCAUGGCUGUCGUCAGCUCGUGUCGUGAGAUGUUCGGUUAAGUCCGGCAACGAGCGCAACCCACAUCUUUAGUUGCCAGCAGGUUAAGCUGGGCACUCUAGAGAAACUGCCCGUGAUAAGCGGGAGGAAGGUGUGGAUGACGUCAAGUCCUCAUGGCCCUUACGGGUUGGGCUACACACGUGCUACAAUGGCAGUGACAAUGGGUUAAUCCCCAAAAGCUGUCUCAGUUCGGAUUGGGGUCUGCAACUCGACCCCAUGAAGUCGGAAUCGCUAGUAAUCGCGUAACAGCAUGACGCGGUGAAUACGUUCCCGGGC
RNAcentral lists this ribosomal RNA (1301 nucleotides) under uncultured Pelagibacterales bacterium. RNAcentral describes it as "uncultured SAR11 cluster alpha proteobacterium 16S ribosomal RNA". It matches the Rfam family "Bacterial small subunit ribosomal RNA", at positions 8 to 1379 of the family's 1533-position model. The record is from RNAcentral. Lineage: Bacteria; Pseudomonadati; Pseudomonadota; Alphaproteobacteria; Candidatus Pelagibacterales.